Molecule: unclassified non-coding RNA, 413 nt
Filed under: soil metagenome
Description: partial contains 5.8S ribosomal RNA, internal transcribed spacer 2, and large subunit ribosomal RNA
Rfam family: 5.8S ribosomal RNA (bases 1-122)
Source: RNAcentral
GAUGAAGAACGUAGCGAAAUGCGAUACUUGGUGUGAAUUGCAGAAUCCCGUGAACCAUCGAGUCUUUGAACGCAAGUUGCGCCCGAAGCCGUCAGGCCGAGGGCACGCCUGCCUGGGCGUCACACGCCGUUGCCCCCCCCGCGCCCCGCACCCAACUCUUUGGGAGCGACCGCGGGGCGGGCUGAUGAUGGCCUCCCGUGCGCUCCGCCGCGCGGUUGGCCCAAAUACCGAGUCCCCGGCGACGUGCGCCACGACGAUCGGUGGUUGAGAGACCUCUGUCGCAAGUCGUGCGCGCCCGUCGCGUCACGCGGGCUCGCAUAGCGCCUCGCGCCGCACCCGGUGCGGAGCUUUCAACGCGACCCCAGGUCAGGCGGGGUUACCCGCUGAAUUUAAGCAUAUCAAUAAGCGGACGA